ACAUGCAAGUCGAGGGGUAACAGAGAGAGCUUGCUUCUGCUGACGACCGGCGCACGGGUGCGUAACGCGUAUAGAAUCUACCUUAUACUGAGGGAUAGCCUUUGGAAACGAAGAUUAAUACCUCAUAGUAUGAUUAAUUGGCAUCAAUAUAUCAUUAAAGGUUACGGUAUAAGAUGACUAUGCGUUCUAUUAGCUAGAUGGUGUGGUAACGGCACACCAUGGCAACGAUAGAUAGGGGCCCUGAGAGGGGGAUCCCCCACACUGGUACUGAGACACGGACCAGACUCCUACGGGAGGCAGCAGUGAGGAAUAUUGGACAAUGGAGGCAACUCUGAUCCAGCCAUGCCGCGUGCAGGAAGACUGCCCUAUGGGUUGUAAACUGCUUUUAUACAGGAAGAAACAUCUCUACGUGUAGAGAGCUUGACGGUACUGUAAGAAUAAGGAUCGGCUAACUCCGUGCCAGCAGCCGCGGUAAUACGGAGGAUCCAAGCGUUAUCCGGAAUCAUUGGGUUUAAAGGGUCCGUAGGUGGAUAAUUAAGUCAGAGGUGAAAUCCUGCAGCUCAACUGUAGAAUUGCCUUUGAUACUGGUUAUCUUGAGUUAUUAUGAAGUAGUUAGAAUAUGUAGUGUAGCGGUGAAAUGCAUAGAUAUUACAUAGAAUACCAAUUGCGAAGGCAGAUUACUAAUAAUCAACUGACACUGAUGGACGAAAGCGUGGGGAGCGAACAGGAUUAGAUACCCUGGUAGUCCACGCCGUAAACGAUGGUCACUAGCUGUUCGAACUUCGGUUUGAGUGGCUAAGCGAAAGUGAUAAGUGACCCACCUGGGGAGUACGUUCGCAAGAAUGAAACUCAAAGGAAUUGACGGGGGCCCGCACAAGCGGUGGAGCAUGUGGUUUAAUUCGAUGAUACGCGAGGAACCUUACCAGGGCUUAAAUGUAAAUUGACAGGUUUAGAGAUAGACUUUUCUUCGGACAAUUUACAAGGUGCUGCAUGGUUGUCGUCAGCUCGUGCCGUGAGGUGUCAGGUUAAGUCCUAUAACGAGCGCAACCCCUGUUGUUAGUUGCCAGCGAGUCAUGUCGGGAACUCUAACAAGACUGCCAGUGCAAACUG
This 1110-nucleotide ribosomal RNA is filed under the name Lacinutrix sp. Its description in RNAcentral is "bacterial SSU rRNA". It matches the Rfam family "Bacterial small subunit ribosomal RNA", at positions 53 to 1165 of the family's 1533-position model. Lineage: Bacteria; Pseudomonadati; Bacteroidota; Flavobacteriia; Flavobacteriales; Flavobacteriaceae. The record is from RNAcentral.